Molecule: ribosomal RNA, 378 nt
Filed under: uncultured bacterium
Lineage: Bacteria
Description: partial 16S ribosomal RNA
Rfam family: Bacterial small subunit ribosomal RNA
Source: RNAcentral
UAAUACGGGGGGGGGCAAGCGUUGUCCGGAAUCAUUGGGCGUAAAGGGCGUGUAGGCGGGUCCGUAAGUCGUGGGUGAAAAGCUUCUGCUCAACAGAUGACUUGCCCACGAUACUACGGGUCUUGAGUGCAGAAGGGGGAAGCGGAAUUCCAGGUGUAGCGGUGGAAUGCGUAGAUAUCUGGAAGAACACCGGUGGCGAAGGCGGCUUCCUGGUCUGUUACUGACGCUGAGGCGCGAAAGCGUGGGGAGCAAACAGGAUUAGAUACCCUGGUAGUCCACGCCCUAAACGAUGGGUACUAGGUGUUGGGGGAUUCGACCCCCUCAGUGCCGAAGCUAACGCAUUAAGUACCCCGCCUGGGGAGUACGGCCGCAAGGCUG